UGUAGGUUAAGUGACUAAGCGUACACGGUGGAUGCCUGGCAGUCAGAGGCGAUGAAGGACGGCUAAUCUGCGAAAAGCGUCGGUAGGUGAUAGAACCGUUAUAACCGGCGAUGUCCGAAUGGGAAACCAGUGAUUCGUCACACUAUCGUUAACUGAAUACAAGGUUAACGAGGCGAACCGGGGAACUGAAACAUCUAAGUACCCCGAGGAAAAGGAAAUCAACCGAGAUUCCCCCAGUAGCGGCGAGCGAACGGGAGCAGCCAGAGUCUGAAUCAGCGUGUGUUAGUGGAACGGUCUGGAAAGUCCGACGGUACAGGGUGAUAGUCCGUACACCAAAAUGCACAGGUUGUGAACUCGAAGAGUAGGGCGGGACACGUGGUAUCCUGUCUGAAUAUGGGGGACACUCCAAGGCUAAAUACUCCUGACUGACCGAUAGUGAACAGUACCGUGAGGGAAAGGAAAGAACCCGGCAGGGGGAGUGAAAAAGAACUGAAACCGUGUCUACAAUGCAGUGGAGCACCUUCGGGUGUGACUGCGUACCUUUUGUAUAAUGGGUCAGCGACUUAUAUUCUGUAGCAGUUAACCGUAUAGGUGUGGCCAGGAAACCGAGUCUUAACUGGCGUUAAGUUGCAGGGUAUAGACCGAAAUCCGGAUAAUCAAGGCUGAGGUGUGAUGACGAGGCACUACGGUGCUGAGUAACAAAUGCCCUGCUUCCGGGGAAAAGCCUCUAAGCAUCAGGUAACAUUAAAUCGUACCCCAAACCGACACAGGUGGUCAGGUAGAGAAUACCAAGGCGCUUGAGAGAACUCGGGUGAAGGAACUAGGCAAAAUGGUGCCGUAACUUCGGGAGAAGGCACGCUGGUGUGUAGGUGAAGCCCCUGCGGGUGGAGCUGAGACCAGUCGAAGAUACCAGCUGGCUGCAACUGUUUAUUAAAAACACAGCACUGUGCAAACACGAAAGUGGACGUAUACGGUGUGACGCCUGCCCGGUGCCGGAAGGUUAAUUGAUGGGGUUAUCCGUAAGGAGAAGCUCUUGAUCGAAGCCCCGGUAAACGGCGGCCGUAACUAUAACGGUCCUAAGGUAGCGAAAUUCCUUGUCGGGUAAGUUCCGACCUGCACGAAUGGCGUAAUGAUGGCGGCUGUCUCCACCCGAGACUCAGUGAAAUUGAACUCGCUGUGAAGAUGCAGUGUACCGCGGCAAGACGGAAAGACCCGUGAACCUUUACUAUAGCUUGACACUGAACAUUGAGCCUUGAUGUGUAGGAUAGGUGGAGGCUUUGAAGCGUGGACGCCAGUCUGCGUGGAGCCAACCUUGAAAUACCACCCUUAAUGUUUGAUGUUCUAACGUUGGCCUUACCGGGGUUGCGGACAGUGUCUGGUGGGUAGUUUGACUGGGGCGGUCUCCUCCCAAAGCGUAACGGAGGAGCACGAAGGUUAGCUAAUCUGGUCGGACAUCAGGAGGUUAGUGCAAUGGCAUAAGCUAGCUUGACUGCGAGCGUGACGGCGCGAGCAGGUGCGAAGCAGGUCAUAGUGAUCCGGUGGUUCUGAAUGGAAGGGCCAUCGCUCAACGGAUAAAAGGUACUCCGGGAUAACAGGCUGAUACCGCCCAAGAGUUCAUAUCGACGGCGGUGUUUGGCACCUCGAUGUCGGCUCAUCACAUCCUGGGCUGAAGUGGUCCAAGGGUAUGGCUGUUCGCCAUUUAAAGUGGUACGCGAGCUGGGUUUAGAACGUCGUGAGACAGUUCGGUCCCUAUCUGCCGUGGGCGCUGGAGAAUUGAGGGGGCUGCUCCUAGUACGAGAGGACCGGAGUGGACGCAUCACUGGUGUUCGGGUUGUCAUGCCAAUGGCACUGCCCGGUAGCUAAAUGCGGAAGAGAUAAGUGCUGAAAGCAUCUAAGCACGAAACUUGCCCCGAGAUGAGUUCUCCUGAGACUUUAAGUCUCCUGAAGGAACGUUGAAGACGACGACGUUGAUAGGCCGGGUGUAAGCGCAGCGAUGCGUUGAGCUAACCGGUACUAAUGAACCGUGAGGCUUAACCUUACAACGCCGAAG
RNAcentral lists this ribosomal RNA (2050 nucleotides) under Klebsiella pneumoniae. Its description in RNAcentral is "23S ribosomal RNA". It matches the Rfam family "Bacterial large subunit ribosomal RNA". The record is from RNAcentral. Lineage: Bacteria; Pseudomonadati; Pseudomonadota; Gammaproteobacteria; Enterobacterales; Enterobacteriaceae.